GGGGAAUCUUGCACAAUGGGGGAAACCCUGAUGCAGCGACGCCGCGUGAACGAUGAAGCCCUUCGGGGUGUAAAGUUCUUUCGACAGGAACGAUAAUGACGGUACCUGGAGAAGAAGCUGCGGCUAACUACGUGCCAGCAGCCGCGGUAAUACGUAGGCAGCGAGCGUUGUUCGGAGUUACUGGGCGUAAAGAGUGCGUAGGCGGCGAGCCAAGUUUGGUGUGAAAUCUCCCGGCUUAACCGGGAGGGUGCGCCGAAAACUGGUUGGCUGGAGUAUGGGAGAGGAAAGCGGAAUUCCUGGUGUAGCGGUGAAAUGCGUAGAUAUCGGGAGGAACAUCUGCGGUGUAGACAGCUUUCUGGACCAAAACUGACGCUGAGGCACGAAAGCGUGGGUAGCAAACA
Molecule: ribosomal RNA, 401 nt
Filed under: uncultured bacterium
Lineage: Bacteria
Description: bacterial SSU rRNA
Rfam family: Bacterial small subunit ribosomal RNA
Source: RNAcentral